Molecule: ribosomal RNA, 433 nt
Filed under: uncultured bacterium
Lineage: Bacteria
Description: partial 16S ribosomal RNA
Rfam family: Bacterial small subunit ribosomal RNA
Source: RNAcentral
AACGAACGCUGGCGGCAUGCCUAACACAUGCAAGUCGAACGAGACCUUCGGGUCUAGUGGCGCACGGGUGCGUAACGCGUGGGAACCUGCCCUUAGGUUCGGAAUAACUCCCCGAAAGGGGUGCCAAUACCGGAUAAUGUCUUCGGACCAAAGAUUUAUCGCCUUUGGAUGGGCCCGCGUUGGAUUAGCUAGUUGGUAGGGUAAAAGCCUACCAAGGCGACGAUCCAUAGCUGGUCUGAGAGGAUGAUCAGCCACACUGGGACUGGGACACGGCCCAGACUCCUACGGGAGGCAGCAGUGGGGAAUAUUGGACAAUGGGCGAAAGCCUGAUCCAGCAAUGCCGCGUGAGUGAUGAAGGCCUUAGGGUUGUAAAGCUCUUUUACCCGGGAUGAUAAUGACAGUACCGGGAGAAUAAGCUCCGGCUAACUCCGUG